Amphiprion ocellaris (clown anemonefish) is the source of this 4877-nucleotide long non-coding RNA. The record is from Ensembl. Lineage: Eukaryota; Metazoa; Chordata; Actinopteri; Pomacentridae.
UUGUGUGUGCCUCUUAUUUAUUUGUCUUCAUGGGCAAUUCACUGAAUAAAACAAAUACUGUUACAACACAAAAAAUGAUUAUUUCCAAAGCAAUUUUGGCCACAUGUUAUGUACAUGUUACAACGUCAUAAUAAAAAGACCUCCUCACUGUUGUCUCUGUUUUAAUAAUUAAAAAAGCAUUUCACUGUUCACCAGGCAUUUACAUUGGAAUUGAAUGCUCAAGUCAAACCACCUUCACUUUUUUUUAUUAUUUGCAAAUGCAAAACUUGUCAACAAUAAAUAAUACUAUAAAAUGUACACAAAAAGAUUGACAGUCCACCACGAGUUAAAACGUUGAACAGAUUGGAUGUUUAGGAACAAGGAACUUGGGAGGAGGGUUUUCUUCUUAGCAAAAAUGUGACGGUCCAUACAAGUUACAGAAAAUGCUGAUCAUCUAUACAUUGACACUAGCAAGAUAACAAAGUUGUUGUUUCUGGUAUAUUUCUUUUUGUACAAAGAAGGGAGAGUCUUCUUUACAAGCGAGCAUCAUUGUCUUAACUGUAGAGAUUAUACAAGCAAGAGUUAAGGCAACUUCUCUGUUGUUUUUGAAAAGUAACAUGAAGUCGUAUCAUGUUUUUAUUCCGUCUGUGGACCACUCGUUUCUAUUAGGUUUGGAGUUAGUUGUCAUUGCAUAAUUCAGGCUGUUGACCAGGCCUGUAGUCCAUCAUCAAAAAAAGGAAUGCUGGAGAUUUGUCACGAGUCUGGUUGCCAUCACAAAGACUGAUUCUGUGGUCCAGGAUUUCCACCACAGUUAUUCUUUCAUUCCUUUAGUACCUGCCUCAGCCGGGGCAGUAGACUGCUUGUAACGCCAACACAGCAUGGUGCAGAUUGGAAACAGACAUAAUUGGGCACGUUGUUGUCAUCUGAGUGUGUCUGCAUGUGUGUGUGUGUGUGUAUGUGUGUGUGUGUGUGUGUGUGUGUAAAGGUGUCAAGCAGGAGAAAAAGCAGACAUGACAAUGGAUUGUGGUUAGUUCCUCAUUAAAAUCAAGCCCUCUCAACCUUUUUAAUCAGUCUGAAACUUGUGGUUAGGGAGAGCGACCUACUUAGAGAAAGUCUGGGAGAUCAGCUACUAGUUGGGCUAAAAAAAAAAUAGUAAAUUUGGCCUGAUGGUGGCACCAGAAGAAAGGUCAAGAAAAGGUCAACAAAACAAUUAGCAUUUCUUCUCCAGGAAGGGAAUUUAACAGAAUAAUUUAACAUUUUGGGAAAUAUGCUGAAUGACUUUCUUGCAGCAGCGUGCAGUUUGCAUGUUCUCCCUGUGCCUGGGUGGGUUUCCUCUUCCUCAGACCGAGGACAAAACGGCGAGUUAACUGGUGAUUCUAAAUGGGCUGUAGUUGUGAGUGUAUGCUAUUUGUCUCUUUGUGUUACUACAGAUGGUGACCUGUCCAGAGAUCAUUCUGCCUCUCACAUAGAUCCGUAUAGUUUAUGGACUGAUGGAUGAACUGUCUUCUGGAGAGUUACCGCUUUCAUAUCGGUCCAUGAAGUACUAAAAUGGAGCCCGGACACCACUUCAUUAGCUUUGGACAGAAUAAAGAGUCUUUAUGCUAAGCUACACUGCUGACUCUAAGGUUGGUUUUGGCAAGAAAGCAAACAACCGCAUUUCAGAAGAUGUUUUUUUUGAUACAAACAUGAUAUUACGGCCUGGGGAUGGCACUAUAGGAGCCUAAAAUCCUGGCCACGGCCCUGGUUCCAUAUUCCAUAUUUUUUAGACAGCAAUGACCACAUUAGCCCUAAAUUUAGUGCUGUCAGCACCCAGAAAGUGUCAAUUUUAGAACACAACAGCUCAUAAAACAGUUAAAAUAAAAUAAUGUGCUCUUCUGAUAUAAACUGUGAUUUUCAACUAAGAAAGUAUUAGAGAAAAUAUUACCUUCACCAAAACACAAAUGCAGCUGAGCAGACAAAGCAGACGAGACAGAAGCAGGUAGCUCAAACAGAGCAUUUUCACUGCCUCUGCUUGCAGAGAAAUGAAGCGGGGGCAAGGAAAUGCUCUAAGUGACACCAAAGCUGGGCCUUGGCAGGCGGCAGGCUAAGCCUAAAUGCCUGACUAACAGGCAACAGAUAGGGUUGCACACUGCUUGUUCUGAGUCAACACUCAGCUGGGCUCUCUGCUUGCACCUGCCUCACACACAAACACCUACACCAAGUGACAGCACACUCGCGAUGUGUAUGACAUGUGCGUGUGCGACAUGAGUAUGUAUGUUCGUUACGUGUGAAUAAUUGUAUGAGUAAUUGUUGGGCCUCAUUUGGACACAGAGUGAAUCACACAAUGUCUCACCGUGACAGAAUGAAAGAAAACAAAGGCUGCAGGACAAACAGUGAGACAUGGCUGCAAAGCAAUGCCCACAUCUAAUGUAAGGCCUGAUUGAGGGUGACUUUGCAUUGCCUUUUUAAAUCAGAAUUGUAUUUGUUUUUAACCCUCCUGUUGUCUUCAUUUACAGGCACCAAAAAAUAUUGUUCCAAAAAUCCCAAAAAAUCUGAAAAAAAAUUCCCCGAAUUUCUGAAAAUUUGCAAAACCUUCAGGAAGAAAAUUUCAAUAAUUCCUUAAAAGUUUCCCUUUAAAGUUUUAUUAAAAAAAAAAAAAUCCCCCAAAUUUGGCAAGAAAAUUCUUGUAAAUAUUUUCAAAAAAUAAGUAAAAAUCUUCCAAAAAAUCUUAAAAAUAUCUAAAGUGAUUCCAUAUAUAUCAGUAAAAUUUCUAAUAUUUUCCAGUGAAAUCCGCUGGAUUUUGGUUGAUUUUUUUUGUGAAUGUUCUUAAAAAACAUUUUUCACAUUUCUUUUUUUCCACCAAAAAAUGUUCAAAGAUUUCUCAAAAAUUUUGAAAAUGUGGACAUCAGAAGUUUGACUGAGAAAAUAUUUUUUUUCUCCACAUUUUCAAACUUUAAAAUGGGUCAGUUUUGACCACACGAGGGUUAAUGAGUGUGUCACAUUAUGGGCUGAGUAAACCAAAAGAGCGUUAACAGUAAUACUGCUUGUGACAUCCACUUGUGUUCUCCUGUAGCUUCCAUUAUUUUUUCUUGAUAUAAGUGCUUUUUUUUGGCAACUAUGAAUUAUCUGGUCAGAUCUUCAGUUUGAAAUCCCAUUUCCACUGAAAACAAGGUGACAUGUUUUGCUUCAACACACCAGAGGCCUUUGGCAUAUGAUAAUACCUUGUCUCACACUGGUACAAUGUACCUCCUCCAUAGGAGUGUAAACUAAAUGCUGGCUUUGUUUCAUGGCGUCGCAGCUCACAGGCUUUAGUGUAACUGGAUCAGAUCAAACUGGACGGGUGACAGUUGUGUUGCAUUUCCUUAAACUGCCCCAGAAGGCUGUGCACAGUGCAUGACAUUGAGUCAAGGACAAGACUGGCUUUAUAAUUUGGCUUUAAAAAAAAAAGUAAAUUGGCAGGAUUAGUGGACAAGCAAGACGCAACGUGCUCCAAAUUAUUGCCAAAAUGAAUUUGUCUUCAGUGUGUUUAUUCUGGAAAUAUUUCUGUUGUGUUACUUCAGCAGUUUUCCUCCAGGUCCCAAAAGAAUAAUUUAUGAAAGAGCUGGCUUCCCUCUGCCCCCUCUAAAUUCAGCGCAGUCAGUCUCAAACUAACCCAUGACAGGAACAUCACUGGUAAUGUAUUAUAGAAAAGAUUAAGUACUAGCCUGCGGUAGCGAGUACCCACUGCAGGUUGGCAGAGUUUCCACAUUGCCAUGCCAUCUCAGUUCUGUUGGUGGUGCAGUAAGCCUUGAAAUGUUGUCAGACAGCAGGGGCCUACUGCUACUAGAGCACGACUCUGUGUUUUAGUACAGGAACGGCAUUCCAAAGGGUUUAAAAAUGUCAGUAAUAGGAAUGACAGGAACAAUAUCAUGACAGCUUCAUCUCGUUCUGGUGUCACGAUAUCUCUAAAUUCACUGAAGUUUAAGAGCAAACAAAUAGAUGCCAAAGGAAAAUGGCAGAGACUGCAUGAUUCCACCCACAUACUGUUACUUGCUGGUGAAGGUUAACAGUAUCUCCAGUUUGCUGAUUCAGUAGGAAUAACUCUCAACACAACUGAAGGGUAUUUUGCGUCCAAGGACAGUUUUCCAGCCUCUCACUGACAGAUCUCUAUACACUGCCCUUAGGUCAUACUGCAUUAAUUGUAUUCAGACUUGUUUUGAGUUACCACGCACCAGAAUCACCCAGAACACUUGGUGUCAGCUUGGCAAGUACAUUUUUGCUGGUUGUGGACAAGAAUAGGCCAAGAAUUUUUUUUUUUUUUUUUUUUUUGCCAGCUCUGUGGUUCUGCAGACUUUAUGGAAUUAGUUUAGUGGCAAGUUGGGUGAGAAGAAAUGAACAAUUACUGAAGCAAGGAUUUUGUAGCUGUUGUGUUUCAACAGGCUGGACCGAAGCUUUUCACUGAGAGAUGGAAAUCUGUCCUUGGGGCUCCUUCCACGCAGCAGCUUUGAAUAUCAGACACCACAGUGCGUUCCAUAGUUAAAGACAACACAGAGAGUAGCUGUUGGAUAGGGAGGGUGGAUAGAGUCUGAGGGGGCAGUGUGGCUGAGAGUCUAAAUGAGGAGAGAAGCAGCGGGGUAAAGUCCUGCUGUUGCAGGAAUAUACUGGCUUCAGUUCAAAGGUCAAGCAGUCCUGCUGGCCACGACAUCCAGUCCGUGGAAGUGGAGUCCAUCAGAGACAAAAGGAGUCCUGUUCGCUCUACUAUGAUACACGUCGUCACGUUUGCUUUGACUCUCAUCAGUCAUCGAAGGCGAUUUGUGGUGCUGGUAGACUGGAGGAUGGGUGAGGACGAGGACAAUGUGUGUGUGUGUGUGCGUGUGUGUGUGUGUGUGCGUGCGUGUGCACGUGUGGAGUGGUGCAGUUGGGAGUGCUGGGAUUUGGAG